CACUAUUUCCAUUUCAUAGAGAACAGAAGCCAGGAAGGAUCAAGCCCUUUAGGCAGGUCACUUGGCCAUCAUGCUGUCUAGCUUGAGGGUCAGUGUGCAGGUGCUGUCUGGGCAAGAGGAAUCUUCAGAGUCCUGAGCAGAAGCUGGACACCCUCAGGGAGGACAGGAGGCCGGCAGACCCAAGAAAGACCCCCAUCGAUGCUGGUGGAAGUUCAGGUAUGCAUUCAGAAACCGCCAGCUCUUU
This 244-nucleotide long non-coding RNA is filed under the name Marmota monax (woodchuck). The record is from RNAcentral. Lineage: Eukaryota; Metazoa; Chordata; Mammalia; Rodentia; Sciuridae.